UACAGAGGGGGCAAACGUUGCUCGGAAUCAUUGGGCGUAAAGCGCACGUAGGCGGCGCUGUAAGUCGGACGUGAAAUCCCUCGGCUCAACCGGGGACGUGCAUCCGAAACUGCAGUGCUCGAGUAUGGAAGAGGGUCGCGGAAUUCUCGGUGUAGAGGUGAAAUUCGUAGAUAUCGGGAGGAACACCAGUGGCGAAGGCGGCGACCUGGGCCAAUACUGACGCUGAGGUGCGAAAGCGUGGGGAGCAAACAGG
This 253-nucleotide ribosomal RNA is filed under the name uncultured bacterium. RNAcentral's name for it is "partial 16S ribosomal RNA". It matches the Rfam family "Bacterial small subunit ribosomal RNA", at positions 524 to 776 of the family's 1533-position model. The record is from RNAcentral.